Molecule: ribosomal RNA, 492 nt
Filed under: uncultured bacterium
Lineage: Bacteria
Description: partial 16S ribosomal RNA
Rfam family: Bacterial small subunit ribosomal RNA
Source: RNAcentral
GAUGAACGCUAGCUACAGGCUUAACACAUGCAAGUCGAGGGGAAACGACAUCGAAAGCUUGCUUUUGAUGGGCGUCGACCGGCGCACGGGGGAGUAACGCGUAUCCAACCUGCCCACCACUUGGGGAUAACCUUGCGAAAGUAAGACUAAUACCCAAUGAUAUCCCACGAAGACAUCUGAAUGGGAUUAAAGAUUUAUCGGUGAUGGAUGGGGAUGCGUCUGAUUAGCUUGUUGGCGGGGUAACGGCCCACCAAGGCAACGAUCAGUAGGGGUUCUGAGAGGAAGGUCCCCCACAUUGGAACUGAGACACGGUCCAAACUCCUACGGGAGGCAGCAGUGAGGAAUAUUGGUCAAUGGGCGAGAGCCUGAACCAGCCAAGUAGCGUGCAGGAAGACGGCCCUAUGGGUUGUAAACUGCUUUUAUAAGGGAAUAAAGUGGGUCACGUGUGACUUUUUGCAUGUACCUUAUGAAUAAGGACCGGCUAAUUCCGUG